CAAGUUUAUAUUACACUGUUUGUCUUAACUCCCAGGAUUUAUCUUUAUUGCCUACUAUCACAUUUCGUAAGUGGCUUUUUUCCUAUGGUUUCUGUAAAAGGAACAACUCUAUAAAAGCAGUAGUGUUUACUCAGAUAGAAACUGAAGCUUAACUGAUAGUAACUCUCAGAAACCUAAACAUAAUGCAUCUGGAAUUACCGUGGUAAAGCAAGAAGUCAAUAAAAUGCUUGUUAACCAGAAAGGAAAAUAGGAAAGUGAGUUAACUUUCAGACUUCUAAAUUUUUUACAUGACAAAUAGACUGUUAUCCAUGUUAAAUAUGACUUAAUCAUUAGGGUUGCUUGUAUAAUUAUAUACCACUUAGUGUUAGGAGUUUAUGUGCCUGUGGAUUUGCAGGCACAUUUUUAGGUUUAUUAGGCAAUAGUUAUUACUUUCUAUUUACAUUCUAGAACUGGAAUUGCAUGAAACAGAAUGGAAUUUAGCCUUCAAGCAUGGUGUUAAGUCUCACUGGAUGGGUUAGCAAAAGAGGUGAACAAAUUAAGUGUGCAAGAAUGGCUGAAGUUCAGCAACACGAGUAGAACUGCAGAAUUUUGAAAGCAGCAGUGUGGAAGAAGGAGUCAACAUUAGACUGAAGUCUUUUAUCUGUGGAUAUAUGACAACUGUAAAAAGGCUCUUGUAGGAGUUCUGUGGACGCAAGAAGAAAGAUCUUAUCUAGAAGUUUGAUAAAAGAUUAAUGGUGUCCUAUAUGCUGCUGAAUUCCCUUUUAAUCUAUGAAGAAGGCAUCUUUCAUUAGAGAGACUGAUGACUAUUACUACAAAUAUCCCACAGAGCCUUCGAUUAUGCUGGAAGGAGGGUGAAAAUGACAUGCCAGAAGCUACGCAAGAGAGAUGAUGCACAUUAUUCUAAUUUUAUGAGUGGAAUUACUUUUUGUUCAUUCAAAAAGGAUGAAACCUUACGACUGCUUUACAGAAGUCUGCUGUUACUGAGGUCUGUGUUAUUUAUUUUAAAUUAAGUGUUCUAAUAUUGUUCACAGAGAAGAAAAUAUACUAUGGAAAAACUAGCUCCAAUG
RNAcentral lists this long non-coding RNA (1067 nucleotides) under Anas platyrhynchos platyrhynchos (common mallard). RNAcentral's name for it is "lncRNA (ENSAPLG00000018540.1)". Lineage: Eukaryota; Metazoa; Chordata; Aves; Anseriformes; Anatidae. The record is from RNAcentral.